RNAcentral lists this long non-coding RNA (478 nucleotides) under Carica papaya (papaya). RNAcentral describes it as "long non-coding RNA (CPAP_LNC009664)". Lineage: Eukaryota; Viridiplantae; Streptophyta; Magnoliopsida; Brassicales; Caricaceae. The record is from RNAcentral.
UGAAAUUUCAAAAAAACGGCGAAAGAGAAAAAAUUCUACAGAAAAAUCCAGCGGAGAAGGGGAGCUGUCCGCGCGAGAUGCCUGCCCAAUUUGUGCACGCGCGUGCACACAGCAUGUGCGGGACAUGCAUACAGAGCACAUAUCCCAUUCGUGCGCACGACGCAGGGUUAGACCCUGCGCGGGUCCUGUCACACACAGUCGGGUCCUCCGUGUGUCACCUCACGUGCAUAUAGGCGCCACACAUUAUGCACGCACUGUCCACGCAGCAAGCUUGCGUGGUUAAGCCCCUGUGCGCCUGGGGCCUGCGUGUAGCAGGCCUGCGCGCUCAGCGCACAGCGAACCUAGGCCCUACACGCGCAAUAGUAGAGCUGUGCGCUUGCAGGCUAACCUGCAGUACGCCAAAAGAGCACUGCCACCUUGAGCAAUGUGCCGCUGUCACCUCGGGCAAUGUGCCAUCAUCGCCUUAGGCAGCAGGCCA